UACGUAGGUGGCAAGCGUUAUCCGGAUUUACUGGGUGUAAAGGGCGAGUAGGCGGGACUGCAAGUCAGAUGUGAAAACUAUGGGCUUAACCCAUAGACUGCAUUUGAAACUGUGGUUCUUGAGUGAUGGAGAGGCAGGCGGAAUUCCCGGUGUAGCGGUGGAAUGCGUAGAUAUCGGGAGGAACACCAGUGGCGAAGGCGGCCUGCUGGACAUUAACUGACGCUGAGGCGCGAAAGUGUGGGGAGCAAACAGG
This 253-nucleotide ribosomal RNA is filed under the name uncultured Oscillospiraceae bacterium. RNAcentral describes it as "partial 16S ribosomal RNA". It matches the Rfam family "Bacterial small subunit ribosomal RNA", at positions 524 to 776 of the family's 1533-position model. Lineage: Bacteria; Bacillati; Bacillota; Clostridia; Eubacteriales; Oscillospiraceae. The record is from RNAcentral.